Molecule: ribosomal RNA, 398 nt
Filed under: uncultured bacterium
Lineage: Bacteria
Description: bacterial SSU rRNA
Rfam family: Bacterial small subunit ribosomal RNA
Source: RNAcentral
AUAUUGCACAAUGGGGGAAACCCUGAUGCAGCGACGCCGCGUGAGCGAAGAAGUAUUUCGGUAUGUAAAGCUCUAUCAGCAGGGAAGANNAUGACGGUACCUGACUAAGAAGCCCCGGCUAACUACGUGCCAGCAGCCGCGGUAAUACGUAGGGGGCAAGCGUUAUCCGGAUUUACUGGGUGUAAAGGGAGCGUAGACGGCAAGGCAAGUCUGAUGUGAAAACCCAGGGCUUAACCCUGGGACUGCAUUGGAAACUGUCUGGCUCGAGUGCCGGAGAGGUAAGCGGAAUUCCUAGUGUAGCGGUGAAAUGCGUAGAUAUUAGGAAGAACACCAGUGGCGAAGGCGGCUUACUGGACGGUAACUGACGUUGAGGCUCGAAAGCGUGGGGAGCAAACAGG